Molecule: non-coding RNA, 773 nt
Organism: Bubalus bubalis (water buffalo)
Lineage: Eukaryota; Metazoa; Chordata; Mammalia; Artiodactyla; Bovidae
Source: the annotation of a RefSeq genome assembly
CCACUUCCUGUCUUGGGGGAGAGUCACAAGGAACCCAGGUACUUAUGUAUAUGUGCUCUCAGGCACUUAAAGACACUGAAAUCUCAGCUUGAGGUAGAAUUAAACAGAUUUGUGCAGGGGAAUCCAUGCCUCAUACCGCUCUCCAGCCUGCUCUGGGUGCUCCUGGCCGUCACCUUCUCUGGAUCUGGUGUGGCCCAGAAAGUUACUCAAGACCAGCCAGACAUAACCCGUCAAGUGGAGCAGUCAGUCACUCUGAACUGUCAGUAUGAAGUCAGUUGGUACAUGAUCUUCUACUCCAUUUUUUGGUACAAGCAGCUUCCCAGUGGACAGAUGACUUACCUCAUUCGUCAGUAUUCAGACGAUGGGAAUGCAAGGGACGGCCGUUACUCUGUAAACUUCCAGAAAGCAGAUAACUCCAUCAGCUUCACCAUUUCAGCCUUACAGCUGGAAGAUACUGCAAAGUACUUCUGUGCUCUUCGUGAACUCACAGUGGUUGAAGUAAUGGGAAAAGCUGAACAAAAACCCCAGAGCUUAAUAAGAGAGAGCCUCCAUGCUUCAGGACUCCAGCUGAGAUGCACACCUGCAGAUCCCAGCAAGAAAUGGUAAUCGUGUGGUUGCUUCAUCUGUGGUCUGGAUCAUAGAAUUUAAUUCUAAGUAAAAGCUUCUUCCUUGUUAUUUGGUGUCCAGAGUAAUUUUCUACUGUUAACAUUCUCUUGUUGAAUUUUUGACUUUAAAUCAAUCAUACAGAACAUGUGUAAAGUUGUCUAAACUUG